CAAAUUAGAGCUUGGUAUAAGUAUUUCAUUUACAUUGAAAGGAAAUUAAAUAAUUAAUUAAUUUGA
RNAcentral lists this transfer RNA (66 nucleotides) under Polyura athamas (common nawab). RNAcentral's name for it is "tRNA-Val". Lineage: Eukaryota; Metazoa; Arthropoda; Insecta; Lepidoptera; Nymphalidae. RNAcentral also lists the same sequence under 1 other name. The record is from RNAcentral.